Molecule: non-coding RNA, 2674 nt
Organism: Notechis scutatus (mainland tiger snake)
Lineage: Eukaryota; Metazoa; Chordata; Lepidosauria; Squamata; Elapidae
Source: RefSeq, a predicted model, not a curated record
UCCAGCCUCGAGGUCGCUUCACGUGCUCCGGCCGCGGGGGGCUUUCAGAGGGGGGUGAAUCUUAUUUUCCACGCUCGUCCGCGCCCCGCGUCGUCCCAAGAAGUCAGCGCCAGGCGAGGGAGACACCCACUCCGCCAACUAAGAGCAAAGGCGCGCAAAAGGCAAAGCUUGGGACUCUUCCCCACCUUCUUCCAGAGGGAACCAGCAGCGGCGACCGCCAGCCGCUCUCCGCCUCAAGCUCGGGCUCCCGUGCCGCCAUUCCGCCAGAACCCUCUGCAUGCUGCUGAGGGCAGCUGGUGGUGGUAGCCUGGGCUCGAGCCCCGCUGCUUUUCCCCCUCCCUCGCCUCGCCUCGCUCGCCGCGCCUCCCCGUUUGUGACCCUCUCAGCCUAAACGCGCCGCGGAGAGGCGAGGCGAGGCGAAGAGGGCAUUUCGGGCCGGCGGAGGAGACAAUGAACAGCGGCAAAAGCGAGCAAGAGCUCAGCCCGGCCGAGCCGAACUUGCAAGAGGAAGAGGUACGGACACUCUUUGUCAGUGGUCUUCCUCUGGAUAUCAAGCCCCGAGAGCUCUAUCUCUUGUUCAGACCAUUCAAGGGAUAUGAAGGUUCUCUUAUUAAACUCACUUCAAAGCAGCCUGUGGGUUUCGUUACCUUUGAUAGUCGCUCAGAAGCAGAAGCUGCUAAGAAUGCCUUGAAUGGAAUUCGUUUUGACCCAGAAAUCCCUCAGACGCUCCGACUAGAGUUUGCAAAGGCCAAUACGAAGAUGGCUAAGAGCAAAUUAGUGGGAACUCCUAAUCCCAGCACUCCUGCCACCCCCAAUGCAGUACCUCAGUUCAUUACCAGAGAGCCAUAUCCGCUGGCUCCCUCCCUCAGAGGCUACUUCUCAGGGCUGGAAGUCCCGUCAGUUCUGCUGAAUCCUGUGUAUCAGGUGUGUGAUGGCGGCUACACUCUGUCUUGUGGGUAUUAAUACAUUCUUCCAAAGUCGCUAUUGAUGUCUUACCUUCAUCUUCCAAAUUGCAGUGUGGUCGGCUUUUUUAAAAAAACCUCACACAAGCGUGGAUUCCUUCAAGACUUUGCCACAGCCUCUAUCACACAUCUUCUUAAAAAUAAAAUAGAAAGUAUUGAAUAAUAAUGGUUAUGAUAAAAAUGCCAAAUCCAGCCUAAAUAUCUGGUUGACUAUGUGAUGAACCAUAAUAAUAAUAAUAAUAUGUUCCUCUUCUACACUGUAUAAAAGUUUAAGCGUUUAAAUUCUAUAAGCAUGAAUGAAUUUCUGGUUUGAAAAAAAUUAUUUUCAAGCAGAGCAGCAAAGAGAAGAACUAUUUUUUAUACCAAGCAUUUUAAGUAAGAGGACUGUACCUUGGGUGGAAGAACUGAUUAUUGUAUACGUUUGAUUUUUAAAUAUGUAUAAUCUCCUUUCCCUACCACCCUUUUAAGAUGCAUGUUCAAGGCAUGUUUUUAAAUCUGGUUCAGAUUUUUUAAAAAGUGUAUUGUUUGAAAUGCACAUUUUGGUUAUCAGGUUUUGGAGCCUGAGAUGGUGUGUUUGAAGUGUAUUCCUGUUGUAGUUAUUUUCAUGUUUCGCCUAAUUGUGCCAAAUUAUAUUGAGCAAGACAAUCAGCAAUAUAAUAGCUUUUUCAUGAUUGUAACAGUUGGUGCGCUGUAUGUUAGCAGUGCCUGAUGCUAGUUCCUGCUGUAUUUUUCUCUCUAUAUAUUUGGAUAUGCAAUUGUGUGGGAAUAAGAAGUAGUACACUGUAGAAAGUAGAAAGGCAAUUUCUAUUAUGAAUGGAAAUGUGCAGUCAUAAUUAUGGACAUUUCUACAACUGUAUCUAUCAUAGUAUACUUCUCUUCAGACAAAUAUAUCUCAUGCAGUUGUGUGUAUUAUUUAGAAAAGGAAAAAGGAAAAAACCCUGGUAUUUGUGAGAAUCCAUCCUGGAUGACCAAGCUGCCCAGGAAGUUAUGUAUUUUAAAUCAUGUUUCUAACAUCCAUAUCAUCUACUUUUGUAAGAACUUAUACACUGUGUGUAUCUUUGGAAGGUAGUUUAGUUUUGUGGUUUUGUUCCAGAUAUAAAGCAGAUUGGUUCUGGUCAUUUAUUGUUAAUCAUAUUCUUGGGGAAGGUAAGAGGUGACUGGACCAUUGAUCCAGAAAACUGAACUUCAGUUGUUGAUCCCAGCACCUCAUGCUGAUGAAAAAUGCCAAAGGUUUUUGCUGAAUCUGAUUCUAAUGAAAUGGCCAUUGUUGGGACAUUUGGCUUGCCAGCUAUUCUUGAUUUUUCCCAGAUAAUCUCAGUAGUAGUAGUCAGUCCCAAAUCUAUGCACUGAUGCCAGAUAGUGGAUUUUGAAGUGGCAGCAGUAGCAGCCCCAUUGCCCUCAUGGUCAAAACUCUCUGCCAGGAAGAAAUCUCCAAGUGCCCACUUUUAAAUAGCUAUUCAACUUCACCUACUGUAUGUCUGUGCUUUUGGGGAAAAAAAGAGAAUAGAUAAAGCUGCCUCUCAAGGAACAGAGCAAUUCUGGGAAUGAUUUCAGGCACAGCGUGCCAAGGAAAAGCUACUUCAAACUUCCCACUUUCUUGAAGGGUUUUAUAUUUAGGGGCCAGAUAAUGGCUGUAUCCAUAUGACAUUAGUUAGUCUGGAUGGAUUUUAGUACUACAAUGGGACUCUGGAACAUUGCUUUUUUUUGGGGGG